Molecule: ribosomal RNA, 498 nt
Filed under: Pycnostigmus mastersonae
Lineage: Eukaryota; Metazoa; Arthropoda; Insecta; Hymenoptera; Figitidae
Description: eukaryotic LSU rRNA
Source: RNAcentral
UUGAAGAGAGAGUUCAAGAGUACGUGAAACCGUUCAGGGGUAAACCUGAGAAACCCAAAAGAUCGAAUGGGGAGAUUCAUCGUCAGCGGCUUUGGCUUACCUUUGGAUUUUGUGAUGUUUGUAUGACUUCGGUUAAUUACAGCACACUGCCAUCGGAUAUGUCUGAAGUUGUCGGCGUGCACUUCUCCUCUAGUAGAACGUCGUGACCCGCUGGUUAUUGGUCUACGGUGCGAGUGGUUGCCUGUCUCGUAGCAUGUUCACAUGCUUACGUGGCAGACCCUCGUUAACCUGACCUAUUAUCUGGCGGUAAACAUUAUGGUAUUGGGCCGCAUAUAAAUGUGCGUUCAGACCCAUCACAAGUGAGAUCAGUGUUCUAGAGGUGCGGACUUAGUGCCGUCCCUGGGCUUGAUCAGCUGUUGGUUGAUGGUGUUCUCGGACAGGCUCGUUGAAAGAAUUGAAUACCGGUCGACGACGCUAUUGCUUUGGGUACUUUCAGGA